CGUCUCAGUUCGGAUUGUAGUCUGCAACUCGACUACAUGAAGCUGGAAUCGCUAGUAAUCGCAAAUCAGAAUGUUGCGGUGAAUACGUUCCCGGGCCUUGUACACACCGCCCGUCACACCAUGAGAGUUGGCAAUACCCAACGUACGUGAUCUAACCCGCAAGGGAGGAAGCGUCCUAAGGUAGGGUCAGCGAUUGGGGUGAAGUCGUAACAAGGUAAC
This 219-nucleotide ribosomal RNA is filed under the name uncultured bacterium. Its description in RNAcentral is "partial 16S ribosomal RNA". It matches the Rfam family "Bacterial small subunit ribosomal RNA", at positions 1284 to 1500 of the family's 1533-position model. The record is from RNAcentral.